Apteryx haastii (Great spotted kiwi) is the source of this 191-nucleotide small nuclear RNA. Its record names the gene U2. It matches the Rfam family "U2 spliceosomal RNA". From Rfam's summary of the family: U2 is a small nuclear RNA (snRNA) component of the spliceosome (involved in pre-mRNA splicing). Lineage: Eukaryota; Metazoa; Chordata; Aves; Apterygiformes; Apterygidae. The record is from Ensembl.
AUUGCUUCUCAGCCUUUUGGGGAAACUCGAGUGUAGGGUUUGUUCUUACCAGUUUCAUAUCUGAUAAGUCCUUGCUGUAAGGACUUGCUGUUAAAUGGCAAUGUAGAGCCAGGAGAUGCUUUAGGAGCUUGCUGCAGCUGCUCCACACAUUGCCCUGGUACUGCAGUGCCUCCAAAAGAAGUGCGCUGUCA